AGGCGUCGAGCGGCGGACGGGUGAGUAGCGCGUAGGAAUCUACCCAGUAGCGGGGGAUAGCCCGGGGAAACCCGGAUUAAUACCGCAUACGCCCCACGGGGGAAAGGCCGGGAUCUUCGGACCGGUCACUAUUGGAGGAGCCUGCGUUGGAUUAGCUAGUUGGUAGGGUAAAGGCCUACCAAGGCGACGAUCCAUAGCUGUUCUGAGAGGAAGAUCAGCCACACUGGAACUGAGACACGGUCCAGACUCC
This 250-nucleotide ribosomal RNA is filed under the name uncultured bacterium. Its description in RNAcentral is "partial 16S ribosomal RNA". It matches the Rfam family "Bacterial small subunit ribosomal RNA", at positions 86 to 339 of the family's 1533-position model. The record is from RNAcentral.